AAUAAUCCCUUUACGAUGCAGAUUGCAACCAUUCCAUUCUUCCUUCCUAUGGCCAACAGCCAUCCUUCAAAUGAUGACCCUCUCCAAGCUCAAAGUUCUCCACCAAGUAACACAAGGCUACUGGACGAUACUCCGCCUUCCUAGCCUGACAGGACUGACAAGUAGAACGUUCAUUCUGCUUAUGCUCUACUAGCAUAGCCUUCAGGAACUCAGGGGGCCCUGCACAGCAAGAUGGGGCAGUAGAGUAGGAUUUUGUAACAAGUCCACAUUGAAAUUGAAAGCAGCAGGACAAGAGGAAGACCCAAUACAAGAUGGAUUGACACCGUAAAGGAAGCCACAGCCUAGAAUUUACAACAGCUGUGUGGAGCUGUUGAAGACAGGACAUUUUGGAAGUCACUCAUUCAUAGGGUCACCAUAAGUUGGAGGCAAUUUGACAGCACAUAACCACUACCACUUUGAAAGGGAGAAAUUAUGGAGUGUCAGAACCUGACAGACUGGAAUUGUGGUUUAUGUGGAUGGAAUGCCACACAUGGGACUCCAGUAGGUAUUCCUGUCAUUAAUUUCAGGUACAGUCCCUGGGCUGUAACAUUGCAGCCCUUAGGAGGGAGCUCUUAGGUGACACAGGAGUGAGGGUGGAUUUUGUCCCUUCCCUUCCCUUACCCACAGCAGCUGAUCCUCACAGUCACAAUGCCCAAUGAGGACCAUAAAGAGUCCUGAGCCAAAUUAAAAGCAAACAUCUUAUAUUUGGUAUGUGUUCAAAGAAUGCAACCCACCACGUCAGAUAAUGUGAUACUGUUUUUUCUGCAAUAGGCUACCCCACUGGAAAUUAACAUAACAAAGUUGUGCACACAAUAAAAGCCUCUCAGAAAGAGAGAAUGACCAAACAAGUGAUUGUUCUUGCAUCUGGGGAGGGGGAAGUAGAGAGCAGCCCCCAGUUACCCAGUGCUGUCAAAACCUCAAAUGGCUGUUGCAUCACAGCAGAAAGGAUGCCUCAGCAGUUCCCCAAUAUGCUAAGACUGGGGCUGAUCCUGCCGACAGAACCAUGGGGCAAUCGGCUUGGGAUGUUGCUCUGCCCACUUUCACUGUUGCUGGGUACAGAUGUUCCAUUUUCUACUUCCAGGUGCCCAGAAGCUCUUAUAGUGGGAGCAGUUCUUAGUUGCAGGGCACUGUAGCUGGUGGGGAUGCAGCCAGGUCACUUUGCAAAACAGACACCCACCAAACUGCUCUCUCUGGUUCUAUGGGCAGACACAAGGACCCCCCUGUUGUUAGGCAGGGACAGUGGAAGCAGUACAGUGGAAGCAAUACUCUAUAUUCCCAUCCAUUCAACAGCACAUACCCUCCUACCCUUUGAUUUACUCUAGACAAAGUCCUCUCUAGAAUGGCUCUGCUUUUGCUGGGAAACACACCCGCCCACACCCGCCACCCCAAAUAGAACAGAAAUCUAGCAAACACCUCUUUGGGCUGUCUAGUUUUUGUACUCUCUACCUUGACUGCUGGCAGACAUACUCCAAAAACAAAACUCUUUCCCAGGCCUAUCUGGAAAUUCCAGGGGUUGGAUGCGGGACUUUUACAUGUAAAGGACAUGCUCUCCCACUAAGCUAUGACCCUUUCUUGCUGACAGAGGGCUGGGCCUAUGCUGGAAAUCAUCACUGGCAUUCUCCACAUGUCCCACAAACCCUCUCCUCACACCAGGCAGAUGAUGGAUUAAUUCACUCCCACAUAGCCGCCGAGAGUAGACCAUGCUAAUCUGUUUGUGGGCACACAGCCCAUUUCUUACCUCCAGCCCUCUGUUCCACUUUGUGCUUCGCCUGCUUGCAGGUUAAGGGGCUGCAAUGACUUGGCUCAGCAGAACCUCCCCUUAGGGUUCCCCACUGGCCUCUCCUCUUGGCAGCCUUGGCCAGGGAUCUGUCCCCGGCUGUCUUACAGGCUUCCCUGACAGUGAAGGGCACCAACGAGCAUCCAGGUCUGACAUCCCCUCCUCUUCCUGGCCUGCUGUUGCACAUAAGCCCCUUUGCUCGGUUUCUUGCUGGCUGCACUUGCCCUCAGCUGCUCUCGCUUGCCUCUAAUUAGCUCUUCCAAUGAAGUGAGCCAAACGGGGUGCUGCUCUUGGCACAGGAUCUAAACUGGCAUCACUUGACAAAUUGCCAACACAAUCUCUUUGGGCUUAUAUAA
RNAcentral lists this long non-coding RNA (2172 nucleotides) under Pogona vitticeps (central bearded dragon). RNAcentral describes it as "lncRNA (ENSPVIG00000022423.1)". The record is from RNAcentral. Lineage: Eukaryota; Metazoa; Chordata; Lepidosauria; Squamata; Agamidae.